UGUGAACUGUAGCACGUCGUGAAAUUGAUGGAACGUUCUGAUUGGCUCGCGCAAAACACUCGGAAUUCGAAUUUGGCAAACCAAACGGAUACGCAAAAAAAGCAGUGAGGAACUUAAGUGACCAUUGCCAGGCAGAGUGAUGCCACCGACAGGGAGGGGAAUGGACAACAAAGGCCCCCAAAAAAUGGCACAAGAGGUGCAAAUAGAGAGGUCAACAUGCUAUUUUCCAAAUACUCUGAAGUGUUGAGUGAGAGGGCUGCAAUAGAUGCUUCACAAGUUAGGGAGUUGGAAGACAUAUUGAUGGAGGCCAGAAACUUGGAGUCACACCUGAAAGAGAAGAAAGAUCACUUGAGGCGUACCUUGGCUCUAAUUUCUGACAAACUGCAGGGAUAGACUUGCUACAUGGGCCUAUGUGCUACAGACAUUUGUAAAUAUUUCUUCACUGAUCUCAAUAAGUAACAUGUCAGUACUUUUAUUUUGACCUCUAUGUAUGCUUUUUAGGUUUACUGUCCUCACUCUUUAUCCCACACUGGCAAACACAACGUGAGUGUGAUUGUGGUUCAUUUCUUUAUAAAUGACCUAUUUAUAUUGAAGCAUUGGGAAUACUGUAGAUCUAGGCCUAUGUAGCCUACUGUAAACAAUAAAUAGGUUAAAAAUA
Molecule: non-coding RNA, 658 nt
Organism: Oncorhynchus mykiss (rainbow trout)
Lineage: Eukaryota; Metazoa; Chordata; Actinopteri; Salmoniformes; Salmonidae
Source: RefSeq, a predicted model, not a curated record